This 253-nucleotide ribosomal RNA is filed under the name uncultured bacterium. RNAcentral's name for it is "partial 16S ribosomal RNA". It matches the Rfam family "Bacterial small subunit ribosomal RNA", at positions 524 to 776 of the family's 1533-position model. The record is from RNAcentral.
UACGUAGGGCGCAAGCGUUGUCCGGAAUUAUUGGGCGUAAAGAGCUCGUAGGCGGCUUGUUACGUCGGGUGUGAAAGCCCGGGGCUUAACCCCGGGUCUGCAUUCGAUACGGGCAGGCUAGAGUGUGGUAGGGGAGAUCGGAAUUCCUGGUGUAGCGGUGAAAUGCGCAGAUAUCAGGAGGAACACCGGUGGCGAAGGCGGAUCUCUGGGCCAUUACUGACGCUGAGGAGCGAAAGCGUGGGGAGCGAACAGG